RNAcentral lists this ribosomal RNA (433 nucleotides) under uncultured bacterium. RNAcentral's name for it is "partial 16S ribosomal RNA". It matches the Rfam family "Bacterial small subunit ribosomal RNA", at positions 29 to 507 of the family's 1533-position model. The record is from RNAcentral.
AGCGAACGCUGGCGGCAGGCCUAACACGUGCAAGUCGAACGAACUCUUCGGAGUUAGUGGCGGACGAGUGAGUAACACGUGGGAACGUGCCUUUUGGUUCGGAAUAACUCAGGGAAACUUGUGCUAAUACCGAAUGUGCCCUUCGGGGGAAAGAUUUAUCGCCAUUAGAGCGGCCCGCGUCUGAUUAGCUAGUUGGUGAGGUAACGGCUCACCAAGGCGACGAUCAGUAGCUGGUCUGAGAGGAUGACCAGCCACACUGGGACUGAGACACGGCCCAGACUCCUACGGGAGGCAGCAGUGGGGAAUCUUGCGCAAUGGGCGAAAGCCUGACGCAGCCAUGCCGCGUGAAUGAUGAAGGUCUUAGGAUUGUAAAAUUCUUUCACCGGGGACGAUAAUGACGGUACCCGGAGAAGAAGCCCCGGCUAACUUCGUG